AUACUUACCUGGCAGGGGAGACAACAUGAUCAGGCAGGUGGUUUUCCAAGGGUGAGGCUCAUCUAUUGCACUCCGGGUAUGCUGACCCCUGCGAUUUCCCCAAAUGCGGGAAAAUCGACUGCAUAAUUUGUGGCACC
Molecule: small nuclear RNA, 137 nt
Filed under: Nestor notabilis (Kea)
Lineage: Eukaryota; Metazoa; Chordata; Aves; Psittaciformes; Psittacidae
Description: U1 spliceosomal RNA
Rfam family: U1 spliceosomal RNA
About the family: U1 is a small nuclear RNA (snRNA) component of the spliceosome (involved in pre-mRNA splicing). Its 5' end forms complementary base pairs with the 5' splice junction, thus defining the 5' donor site of an intron. There are significant differences in sequence and secondary structure between metazoan and yeast U1 snRNAs, the latter being much longer (568 nucleotides as compared to 164 nucleotides in human).
Source: Rfam by way of RNAcentral